UACGGAGGGGGCAAGCGUUAUCCGGAUUUACUGGGUGUAAAGGGAGCGUAGACGGCGAUGCAAGUCUGAAGUGAAAGGCGGGGGCCCAACCCCCGGACUGCUUUGGAAACUGUAUAGCUGGAGUGCAGGAGAGGUAAGUGGAAUUCCUAGUGUAGCGGUGAAAUGCGUAGAUAUUAGGAGGAACACCAGUGGCGAAGGCGGCUUACUGGACUGUAACUGACGUUGAGGCUCGAAAGCGUGGGGAGCAAACAGG
RNAcentral lists this ribosomal RNA (253 nucleotides) under uncultured bacterium. Its description in RNAcentral is "partial 16S ribosomal RNA". It matches the Rfam family "Bacterial small subunit ribosomal RNA", at positions 524 to 776 of the family's 1533-position model. The record is from RNAcentral.